This is an RNA transcript of Nannospalax galili (Upper Galilee mountains blind mole rat), 4149 nucleotides long. It is a transcript of the gene named myosin binding protein C, slow type, with no coding region annotated. The transcript has 32 exons. The record is from RefSeq and is a predicted model, not a curated record. NCBI's taxonomy places the organism in Eukaryota, Metazoa, Chordata, Mammalia, Rodentia, Spalacidae.
AUGUGAGAAAGGUCCCAUAGCUGUCAUGUUCCAGCAUCCUUGUGCCGAAGAAGGGAGGCGCCAACAUGAUUGAUGUUCGGGGGCCGUAUAAAAGCAUUGGGUUUCUCCACAGCUGCUUGUCACGUUGACCUGCACCGUCUCUCAACUGCUCUUGGGGUUUCUGUCAACUGGUAUUGGAGGGGAGAAAACUCUUUGGAGAAUAACAUUUUAUUGUGGUCAUGCCAGAACCCACUAAGAAAGAGGAAAAUGAAGUACCAGCCCCAGCUCCACCCCCAGAAGAACCAAGUAAAGAGAAAGAGGCGGGAACUGGACCAGCAAAAGAGGAAGAUGAUGCUUCUCCGCCUAGUGCCUUGCCUCCAGGUUUGGGUAGUCGGGCCCUGGAGAGAAAAGAUUCAGAAUGGUCUCUUGGUGAGUCACCUGCCGGCGGAGAGGAGCAAGAUAAACAGAAUGCCAACUCUCAGAUGUCUACCCUGCUUGUCGAAAAACCUCAAACAGGUUCAGUGAAAGUUGGGGAAAACAUCACCUUUAUAGCCAAAGUCAAGGCUGAAGAUCUUCUUAGAAAACCCACUAUCAAAUGGUUCAAAGGGAAAUGGAUGGAUCUGGCCAGCAAAGCUGGAAAGCAUCUCCAGCUGAAGGAAACCUUCGAGAGGCACUCUCGGAUAUACACAUUUGAGAUGCAGAUCAUCAAGGCCAAAGAGAACUAUGCAGGAAACUACAGAUGUGAGGUCACCUACAAGGAUAAGUUUGACAGUUGUUCAUUUGAUCUUGAAGUGCAUGAAUCUACUGGGACAACUCCAAACAUUGACAUCAGAUCUGCCUUCAAGAGAAGUGGAGAAGGUCAAGAGGAUGCAGGGGAACUUGACUUUAGUGGUCUCCUGAAACGUAGGGAGGUGAAGCAGCAGGAGGAGGAGCCCGAGAUUGACGUGUGGGAGCUGCUGAAGAACGCCAACCCCAAUGAGUACGAGAAGAUCGCUUUCCAGUACGGCAUCACUGACCUGCGUGGGAUGCUCAAGCGGCUCAAACGCAUGCGCAGGGUGGAGAAGAAGAGCGCAGCUUUUGCAAAAAUUCUUGAUCCUGCCUAUCAGGUUGAUAAAGGAGGCAGAGUAAGAUUUGUUGUGGAGCUGGCAGACCCCAAACUGGAAGUGAAAUGGUACAAAAAUGGUCAAGAAAUUCGACCCAGCACAAAAUACAUCUUUGAACACAAAGGAUGUGAAAGAAUCAUGUUUAUCAAUAACUGUUCACUGACAGAUGAUUCAGAGUAUUAUGUGACAGCUGGUGAUGAGAAAUGUUCUACUGAGCUCUUUGUAAGAGAGCCUCCAAUUAUGGUGACCAAACAGCUGGAAGACACAAAAGCUUAUUGUGGGGAGAGAGUGGAAUUGGAAUGUGAAGUGUCUGAAGAUGAUGCCAAUGUAAAAUGGUUUAAGAAUGGUGAAGAGAUCUUCAUUGGUCCCAAAUCAAGAUACAGAGUUAAAGUUGAAGGGAAAAAACACAUUUUGAUCAUAGAAGGAGCAACAAAGGCUGACAGUGCAGAAUAUUCAGUCAUGACCACCGGGGGACAAUCAUCUGCUAAACUGAGUGUUGACUUGAGACCUCUAAAGAUCACAACACCUCUGACUGAUCAGACUGUGAAGCUUGGAAAAGAAGUAUGCUUGAAGUGUGAAAUCUCUGAAAACGUACCAGGAAAAUGGACAAAAAAUGGUCUUCCCGUUCAGGAGAGUGACCGUGUGAAGGUUGUUCACAAAGGAAGAAUCCACAAGUUAGUUAUAGCCAAUUCUCUCAUUGAAGAUGAAGGUGAUUAUGUGUUUACACCAGAUGUCUAUAAUAUUCCUUUGUCUGCCAAAGUUCAUGUUAUUGAUCCUCCUAAGAUCAUCCUGGACGGCCUCGAUGCUGACAAUACAGUAACUGUGAUUGCAGGAAGCAAGCUUCGUCUUGAGAUCCCUGUCACUGGGGAACCACCUCCCAAGGCCAUCUGGAGCCGAGCAGAUAAGGCUAUUAUGGAGGGCAGUGGUCGGAUAAGGGCAGAGUCUUACCCUGACAGCAGCACUCUGGUCAUUGAUGUGGCUGAAAGAGAUGACUCUGGUGUGUACAACAUAAAUCUGAAAAACGAAGCUGGAGAAGCACAUGCAAGCAUCAAGAUUAAAGUUGUGGACAUCCCUGAUCCUCCAGUGGCACCAAAUGUAACAGAAGUAGGAGAUGACUGGUGCAUUAUGAACUGGGAGCCUCCUGUCUAUGAUGGAGGAUCUCCAAUCUUAGGAUACUUCAUUGAGAGGAAGAAGAAACAAAGCUCUAGGUGGAUGAGGCUGAAUUUUGAUCUCUGCAAAGAAACAACUUUUGAGCCCAAGAAGAUGAUUGAAGGUGUCGCCUACGAGGUUCGCAUCUUCGCCGUCAAUGCCAUCGGCAUCUCCAAGCCCAGUAUGCCCUCCAAGCCCUUUGUUCCUUUGGCUGUAACCAGCCCUCCUACGCUUCUGGCUGUUGACUCUGUUACUGACUCGUCUGUGACAAUGAAGUGGAGGCCCCCAGACCAGAUCGGUGCAGCAGGUUUAGAUGGCUAUGUGCUAGAGUAUUGCUUUGAAGGAACUGAAGACUGGGUAGUUGCAAACACAGAUCUGAUCGACAAGACCAAGUUCACCAUCACAGGUCUGCCCACGGAUGCCAAGAUCUUUGUACGUGUCAAAGCUAUUAAUGCAGCUGGGGCCAGUGAGCCCAAGUACUAUUCUCAGCCCAUUCUUGUGAAGGAAAUCAUAGAGCCACCAAAGAUUCGCAUCCCAAGGCACCUGAAACAAACUUACAUCCGCAGAGUUGGAGAAGCCGUCAACCUGGUUAUACCUUUCCAGGGAAAACCAAGACCAGAAUUGACCUGGAAGAAGGAUGGCCAGGAAAUUGAUAAGAAUCAAAUAAACAUCCGCAACUCGGAGACGGAUACAAUCAUAUUUAUCAGAAAAGCAGAGAGGAGCCACUCUGGGAAGUAUGACCUGGAGGUCAAAGUGGACAAAUAUGUGGAAAGUGCAUCUAUCGACAUCCAGAUCGUCGACCGUCCGGGUCCUCCUCAAGCUGUGAAUAUUGAGGACGUCUGGGGAGAGAAUGUUGCUCUCACAUGGACACCUCCGAAGGAUGAUGGCAAUGCCGCCAUCACAGGGUACACCAUCCAGAAGGCCGACAAGAAGAGCAUGGAAUGGUUCACUGUCAUCGAGCAUUAUCACCGAACUAAUGCCACCAUUACUGAACUGGUCAUAGGGAACGAAUACUACUUCCGGGUCUUUGCUGAAAACAUGUGUGGCCUCAGCGAGGAUGCAACAAUGACUAAGGAGAGUGCUGUGAUUGCCAAGGAUGGUAAAAUCUACAAAAAUCCAGUGUAUGAGGACUUUAACUUCACAGAGGCACCCAUGUUUACGCAGCCUUUGGUUAACACCUAUGCCAUAGCUGGUUACAACGCCACUCUGAACUGCAGUGUGCGAGGAAAUCCCAAGCCCAAAAUCACCUGGAUGAAAAACAAAGUGGCUAUUGUGGAUGACCCAAGAUACAGGAUGUUCAGCAACCAGGGGGUCUGCACUCUGGAGAUUCGCAAGCCUAGCCCCUAUGAUGGAGGCACUUAUUGCUGCAAAGCAGUCAACGAACUUGGGACAGUGGAAAUUGAAUGCAAAUUGGAGGUCAAAGUUGUAGCACAGUAAGGAUUGUUGAAUGUAUAUUGUCACGUAAGGAGAAUGACUUUUCAAAUUUGCAUUAAAGAAGUUUUAAGAAUGUUCAAAUAGCAUGCUGGUUUUGUCUGGUCAUGAACUUAUUAGCAAGUAUUGAAGCAUUUCACUAAAGGACAGUGCAGUCUUGUGGUUUCAUGGAUUUUCUCUUGAAUGAUGCUUUUGUUCUUUGACUAUAACUCAGAAACUCAGAAGGUGGGCUGUCCUUCUGCAGGCUCCUCUUACAAGGUGUGCCUCCAAACAUAAUUGAUUCUUAUUUGCGAGAUUUGCAGUCAAGCAAUCCUGAGGAAUACUGAAGGCUGGGCUGCCCCUGUAAACUUCGCUGCUUCUGAAAUCUGGUUGAGAAGAGAAAGCAUUUUCUGGUUUUCCACCAGGCCCCCAAGUGUGGUCAUUUCCUUUCCUUCUAACAUUGGAGAAAGAAGAAAAAAUGUUUGCAAGAUUGCUUCAUUAAAGAUUA